AUGUACCUGAUGAGUCCCAAAUAGGACGAAAUGCGAAUCCUGCAU
RNAcentral lists this non-coding RNA (45 nucleotides) under Trichobilharzia regenti. The record is from RNAcentral. Lineage: Eukaryota; Metazoa; Platyhelminthes; Trematoda; Strigeidida; Schistosomatidae.